GAUGAACGCUGGCGGCGUGCCUAAUACAUGCAAGUCGAGCGAACAGACGAGGAGCUUGCUCCUCUGACGUUAGCGGCGGACGGGUGAGUAACACGUGGAUAACCUACCUAUAAGACUGGGAUAACUUCGGGAAACCGGAGCUAAUACCGGAUAAUAUAUUGAACCGCAUGGUUCAAUAGUGAAAGACGGUUUUGCUGUCACUUAUAGAUGGAUCCGCGCCGCAUUAGCUAGUUGGUAAGGUAACGGCUUACCAAGGCAACGAUGCGUAGCCGACCUGAGAGGGUGAUCGGCAACACUGGACUGAGACACGGUCCAGACUCCUACGGGAGGCAGCAGUAGGGAAUCUUCCGCAAUGGGCGAAAGCCUGACGGAGCAACGCCGCGUGAGUGAUGAAGGUCUUCGGAUCGUAAAACUCUGUUAUUAGGGAAGAACAAAUGUGUAAGUAACUAUGCACGUCUUGACGGUACCUAAUCAGAAAGCCACGGCUAACUACGUG
Molecule: ribosomal RNA, 496 nt
Filed under: uncultured bacterium
Lineage: Bacteria
Description: partial 16S ribosomal RNA
Rfam family: Bacterial small subunit ribosomal RNA
Source: RNAcentral